GCCUUCUAAAACAAACCCUCUCUCCCCUUUCAUGUGAGGCUUCCUUUGCAUGGUUUUCCUAGUGGGCAACCACCCUUUUGCUACCAACUUUUAGGGCAAAAAGGUGGCGGCGGAAGAGGUGGAUCUCGUCGUUGAUUCACCGGAGAUGGUGGCUUCCUUCUUGGAAUUAUUGUCCAUUGAUAAAUUCUCUUGGUGGUGUUUUUCUUUUGUUGGAAAGGGCAACUUCUAUCCUUUGGCAUUUUAAUGGAGGAAAUGGUUAAUGAAAAAGAAGAGCAAUCUCAAGGAAAAGGCAGAUUAUUCAUGUUAAUCCUAUCGAUCUCUACUUAAUUACUAGUUCUUAAUAUGAGUUAUUGAGUUUUAAUUAUUAUAAUGAAUAUUGUUAUGUGUUUGUGAUCUAUUUUAGUUAUA
This is a long non-coding RNA of Solanum stenotomum, 408 nucleotides long. RefSeq lists it as uncharacterized. Lineage: Eukaryota; Viridiplantae; Streptophyta; Magnoliopsida; Solanales; Solanaceae. The transcript has 2 exons. The record is from RefSeq and is a predicted model, not a curated record.